RNAcentral lists this long non-coding RNA (1333 nucleotides) under Chinchilla lanigera (long-tailed chinchilla). RNAcentral describes it as "lncRNA (ENSCLAG00000027489.1)". Lineage: Eukaryota; Metazoa; Chordata; Mammalia; Rodentia; Chinchillidae. The record is from RNAcentral.
CUGGCUACUUCUUGAACACCCCUCACCUCCCAUCGUAAGCACUGUGCAGGUUUUAAAGCUACUUCCUACCAUCAUCUCCCUUAAUCCACACUUCCCCUUCCAGGAAAGGAUGAGUGCCUCACCCAGACAUCUGGCUGGUGCCCACAGCUGCAGAGUCCAGCCCUUUGCCUGUGGUGGGAGACCCUCACCCAUUCUCCCGGCGUGGGUCAGCGGUGCCUACCUUUACCCCGCCAGUUUGUACCGUAAGCCUUUGGGUAACGUGCACAUGUAUUUUCUCUAUUGCACUCCUCUAGUCGGGCACACGAUCUUCUCCAGCACUACUCCUGAAAGUGUCCUCAGGUCUGGGCUGUGCCCCAGCCGGACUUACAGAAUCAGGACCUACAGUUUAGCCAGCUGUAGUAGCCCAUGCCUGUCAUCCGAGCACUGGGGAGGCUGAGGCAGGAUCGCCAGCCUGAGUUACACAGUGAGUUCAAGGCCAGUCCGAAGUGCCUAUGGAGACCUUAUCUCAAAAAUAAACAAACAAAUCGGAACGUGCAGUUUAACAAGAUCCCCAGGAGAAUCAUGUUCACAUUAAAGUUCGAGGUCAGGUUGUGUAACACCCACUAGAACUUGCUCAGAGCAGAAUUUAACAAACGUUUCAAGCCCCGAGGCCCUGGGAAUCCUGGGGAUGCGCAGUUUUCAGGGGCAGCGGUGCCACGCUUCCUUCUCUGCUUGGAGCCCCCUCCUUUUGUGGCUGCACUGGGCUCGCGCCUCCCUGAAAUGACAAACAGGACACACCUUCCUAGCUGAGCCCAGAGCUGACCUCGGCUUGGGGCCCUAACACUUCUAAUGAGGAGCUCGCUCUAUUCCUAAGCUGGAACCGCCUAGCGCAAACUAGGGGUUUGUGAUAGUCAACACCGGGAUGUUUCCAGACUUGAUUUAUUGACUUGUCGGUUUCCAUUCUGUCACGAAUCUGAUUGACAAUGAAACACAGAAUGUGGCUCGGGGGGAUUCCUGCGGGUGUGUGCGCAGCCGCCGGGCUGUGUGCGCGCGCGUGUGUGUGUGUGUGUGUGUGUGUGUGUGCGCGCGCGCGCGCGCCUGAGCCCGAGGGGUGCUUGCGUGUGCAAACGACACGGGAGACGUGGGCGCCCGGCGGACUUGAUCGCGCUCCACAAGUGUUUGCCUGGAUUGAAAACAGCGCUGUCGUUUUCGGGGGAGGAGGCGGAGGGACGCAAGGCGCCCGACGGUUGGGGCGGCCCCUUGUCCGCCUCUCGCACCAGUCGCUGGGAACCGGGAGGGGAACCGGUCGGGGCGGUGUGCCCCCCGCGGGACACGCGCGGCGACACGUGGGGUA